UUCACAAAGGGGUAUUCAUGUGUAGGUUGGACAUGUUUUACCACUGCCCUUGUUUCAGAUACCACCCCCACCCCCAACUAGUUCGGUUAAAGUCUGUCUGACUUAGCUUUCCAGAUCACCAGCUCCUCUCCAGGUAAAGAAACCCUGGCUCUAAUCUGGAGACAGCCCUCAGAAAUUCAGGGAAUCAUCCACAUGGAGAGGGCUGGUUGCAGCCCAAGAAGAAUCUCAGGGCACACACAGCUUGGUAGCCUGUCUGCCUGAUGAGAAGACACUUUUCAACAUUUCUGCUCUAGUGAUGCUGCUGAAAACUGCUCAGUUAUCCAGUGCUUACCGGGGAUGUGUUUUUCUUCUGGAUAUGACUUUUGCUAUUUAUAAGUGAGUCUUUGGAAAGGCCAAAAGCUGAAAAGGGAACUGAAGUAAAUGGUACUGUGGAGAAGACAAAUCUAG
Molecule: long non-coding RNA, 447 nt
Organism: Canis lupus familiaris (dog)
Lineage: Eukaryota; Metazoa; Chordata; Mammalia; Carnivora; Canidae
Exons: 3
Source: RefSeq, a predicted model, not a curated record